This 492-nucleotide ribosomal RNA is filed under the name uncultured bacterium. Its description in RNAcentral is "partial 16S ribosomal RNA". It matches the Rfam family "Bacterial small subunit ribosomal RNA", at positions 30 to 507 of the family's 1533-position model. The record is from RNAcentral.
AUUGAACGCUGGCGGCAUGCUUUACACAUGCAAGUCGAGCGGUAACAGGCCUUCGGGUGCUGACGAGUGGCGAACGGGUGAGUAAUGCAUCGGAACGUACCCAGAGGUGGGGGAUAACGCAGCGAAAGCUGUGCUAAUACCGCAUGUGAUCUGAGGAUGAAAGCGGGGGACCGAGCAGCAAUGUUUGGCCUCGCGCCUUUGUAGCGGCCGAUGUCGGAUUAGCUAGUUGGUGGGGUAAAGGCCUACCAAGGCGACGAUCCGUAGCUGGUCUGAGAGGACGACCAGCCACACUGGGACUGAGACACGGCCCAGACUCCUACGGGAGGCAGCAGUGGGGAAUUUUGGACAAUGGGCGCAAGCCUGAUCCAGCAAUGCCGCGUGCGGGAAGAAGGCCUUCGGGUUGUAAACCGCUUUUGGCAGGAACGAAACGGUGUCCGCUAAUACCGGGCGCUAAUGACGGUACCUGCAGAAUAAGCACCGGCUAACUACGUG